This 606-nucleotide ribosomal RNA is filed under the name Tolypothrix sp. LCRNK30. RNAcentral describes it as "bacterial SSU rRNA". It matches the Rfam family "Bacterial small subunit ribosomal RNA", at positions 163 to 801 of the family's 1533-position model. Lineage: Bacteria; Bacillati; Cyanobacteriota; Cyanophyceae; Nostocales; Tolypothrichaceae. The record is from RNAcentral.
CUAAUACCGGAUGGGCCGAAAGGUGAAAGAUUUAUUGCCUAGAGAUGAGCUCGCGUCUGAUUAGCUAGUAGGUGUGGUAAGAGCGCACCUAGGCGACGAUCAGUAGCUGGUCUGAGAGGACGAUCAGCCACACUGGGACUGAGACACGGCCCAGACUCCUACGGGAGGCAGCAGUGGGGAAUUUUCCGCAAUGGGCGAAAGCCUGACGGAGCAAUACCGCGUGAGGGAGGAAGGCUCUUGGGUUGUAAACCUCUUUUCUCAAGGAAGAAUACAAUGACGGUACUUGAGGAAUAAGCAUCGGCUAACUCCGUGCCAGCAGCCGCGGUAAUACGGAGGAUGCAAGCGUUAUCCGGAAUGAUUGGGCGUAAAGCGUCCGCAGGUGGCAAUGUAAGUCUGCUGUUAAAGAGUGAGGCUCAACCUCAUAAAAGCAGUGGAAACUACAUAGCUAGAGUACGUUCGGGGCAGAGGGAAUUCCUGGUGUAGCGGUGAAAUGCGUAGAGAUCAGAAGAACACCGGUGGCGAAAGCGCUCUGCUAGGCCUGUACUGACACUGAGGACGAAAGCUAGGGGAGCGAAUGGGCAUUAGAUACCCAGUAGGUCCNACGUC